AAAGAUUAAGCCAUGCAUGUCUAAGUGUAAACAAUUACAUAGUGAAACUGCGAAUGGCUCAUUAUAUAAGUUAUCGUUUAUUUGAUAGUUCCUUACUACUUGGAUAACCGUGGUAAUUCUAGAGCUAAUACAUGCUAAAAACCCCGACUUCGGAAGGGGUGUAUUUAUUAGAUUAAAAACCAAUGCCCUUCGGGGCUCACUGGUGAUUCAUAAUAACUUCUCGAAUCGCAUGGCCUUGCGCCGGCGAUGGUUCAUUCAAAUUUCUUCCCUAUCAACUUUCGAUGCUAGAGUAGUGUUCUAGCAUGGUUACAACGGGUAACGGAGGGUUAGGGCUCGACCCCGGAGAAGGAGCCUGAGAAACGGCUACUACAUCCAAGGAAGGCAGCAGGCGCGCAAAUUACCCAAUCCCGACACGGGGAGGUAGUGACGAUAAAUACUGAUACAGGGCUCUUUUGGGUCUUGUAAUUGGAAUGAGUACAAUUUAAAUCCCUUAACGAGGAACAAUUGGAGGGCAAGUCUGGUGCCAGCAGCCGCGGUAAUUCCAGCUCCAAUAGCGUAUAUUAAAGUUGUUGUGGUUAAAAAGCUCGUAGUAGAACCUUGGGCCUGGCUGGCCGGUCCGCCUCACCGCGUGCACUGGUCCGGCCGGGCCUUUCCCUCUGUGGAACCGCAUGCCCUUCACUGGGUGUGCCGGGGAAACAGGACUUUUACUUUGAAAAAAUUAGAGUGCUCCAGGCAGGCCUUUGCUCGAAUACAUUAGCAUGGAAUAAUAGAAUAGGACGUGUGGUUCUAUUUUGUUGGUUUCUAGGACCGCCGUAAUGAUUAAUAGGGACAGUCGGGGGCAUCAGUAUUCAAUUGUCAGAGGUGAAAUUCUUGGAUUUAUUGAAGACUAACUACUGCGAAAGCAUUUGCCAAGGAUGUUUUCAUUUAUCAGGAACGAAAGUUAGGGGAUCGAAGACGAUCAGAUACCGUCGUAGUCUUAACCAUAAACUAUGCCGACUAGGGAUCGGACGAUGUUAUUUUUUGACUCGUUCGGCACCUUACGAGAAAUCAAAGUGCUUGGGCUCCAGGGGGAGUAUGGUCGCAAGGCUGAAACUUAAAGAAAUUGACGGAAGGGCACCACCAGGGGUGGAGCCUGCGGCUUAAUUUGACUCAACACGGGGAAACUCACCAGGUCCAGACACAAUGAGGAUUGACAGAUUGAGAGCUCUUUCUUGAUUUUGUGGGUGGUGGUGCAUGGCCGUUCUUAGUUGGUGGAGUGAUUUGUCUGCUUAAUUGCGAUAACGAACGAGACCUUAACCUGCUAAAUAGCCCGUAUUGCUUUGGCAGUACGCCGGCUUCUUAGAGGGACUCUCGGCUCAAGCCGAUGGAAGUUUGAGGCAAUAACAGGUCUGUGAUUCCCUUAGAUGUUCUGGGCCGCACGCGCGUUACACUGACGGAGCCAGCGAGUUCUCCCUUGGCCGGAAGGCCCGGGUAAUCUUGUUAAACUCCGUCGUGCUGGGGAUAGAGCAUUGCAAUUAUUGCUCUUCAACGAGGAAUCCCUAGUAAGCGCAAGUCAUCAGCUUGCGUUGAUUACGUCCCUGCCCUUUGUACACACCGCCCGUCGCUACUACCGAUUGAAUGGCUCAGUGAGGCUUUCGGACUGGCCCAGAGAGGUGGGCAACUACCACUCAGGGCCGGAAAGUUAUCCAAACUCGGUCAUUUAGAGGAAGUAAAAGUCGUAACAAGGUCUCCGUUGGUGAACCAGCGGAGGGAUCAUUACUGA
Molecule: ribosomal RNA, 1762 nt
Filed under: Colletotrichum gloeosporioides
Lineage: Eukaryota; Fungi; Ascomycota; Sordariomycetes; Glomerellales; Glomerellaceae
Description: SSU rRNA
Rfam family: Eukaryotic small subunit ribosomal RNA
Source: RNAcentral